This 253-nucleotide ribosomal RNA is filed under the name uncultured bacterium. Its description in RNAcentral is "partial 16S ribosomal RNA". It matches the Rfam family "Bacterial small subunit ribosomal RNA", at positions 524 to 776 of the family's 1533-position model. The record is from RNAcentral.
UACGGAGGGUGCAAACGUUGCUCGGAAUCAUUGGGCGUAAAGCGCACGUAGGCGGCUUAGCAAGUCGGAUGUGAAAUCCCUCGGCUCAACCAAGGAAGUGCAUCCGAAACUGCUGAGCUUGAGUACUUAAGAGGAUCGCGGAAUUCCCGGUGUAGAGGUGAAAUUCGUAGAUAUCGAGAGGAACACCGGUGGCGAAGGCGGCUUCCUGGACAGUUACUGACGCUGAGACGCGAAAGCGUGGGGAGCAAACAGG